CCUACGGGAGGCUGCAGUGGGGAAUAUUGCACAAUGGGGGAAACCCUGAUGCAGCGACGCCGCGUGAGUGAAGAAGUAAUUCGUUACGUAAAGCUCUAUCAGCAGGGAAGAAAUACUGACCUUACGGUCAGCAGACGGUACCUGAGUAAGAAGCACCGGCUAACUACGUGCCAGCAGCCGCGGUAAUACGUAGGGGGCAAGCGUUAUCCGGAUUUACUGGGUGUAAAGGGAGCGUAGACGGUGCACCAAGUCUGGAGUGAAAUGCCGCAGCUUAACUGCGGAACUGCUUUGGAAGCUGGCGAACUAGAGUGCGGGAGGGGUAAGCGGAAUUCCUAGUGUAGCGGUGAAAUGCGUAGAUAUUAGGAGGAACACCGGUGGCGAAGGCGGCUUACUGGACCGUAACUGACGUUGAGGCUCGAAAGCGUGGGGAGCAAACAGGAUUAGAUACCCGAGUAGUC
Molecule: ribosomal RNA, 458 nt
Filed under: uncultured bacterium
Lineage: Bacteria
Description: partial 16S ribosomal RNA
Rfam family: Bacterial small subunit ribosomal RNA
Source: RNAcentral